AGUCGAACGGCAGCGCGGGGCAACCUGGCGGCGAGUGGCGAACGGGUGAGUAAUAUAUCGGAACAUACCCUAGAGUGGGGGAUAACGUAGCGAAAGUUACGCUAAUACCGCAUACGCACUAAGGUGGAAAGUGGGGGAUCGCAAGACCUCAUGCUCAUGGAGUGGCCGAUAUCUGAUUAGCUAGUUGGUGAGGUAAAGGCUCACCAAGGCGACGAUCAGUAGCUGGUCUGAGAGGACGACCAGCCACACUGGAACUGAGACACGGUCCAGACUCCUACGGGAGGCAGCAGUGGGGAAUUUUGGACAAUGGGGGCAACCCUGAUCCAGCAAUGCCGCGUGAGUGAAGAAGGCCUUCGGGUUGUAAAGCUCUUUUGUCAGGGAAGAAACGGUGGUCUCUAAUAUAGACUGCUAAUGACGGUACCUGAAGAAUAAGCACCGGCUAACUACGUGCCAGCAGCCGCGGUAAUACGUAGGGUGCAAGCGUUAAUCGGAAUUACUGGGCGUAAAGCGUGCGCAGGCGGUUAUAUAAGUCAGAUGUGAAAUCCCCGGGCUCAACCUGGGAACUGCAUUUGAGACUGUAUGGCUAGAGUGUGUCAGAGGGGGGUAGAAUUCCACGUGUAGCAGUGAAAUGCGUAGAUAUGUGGAGGAAUACCGAUGGCGAAGGCAGCCCCCUGGGAUAACACUGACGCUCAUGCACGAAAGCGUGGGGAGCAAACAGGAUUAGAUACCCUGGUAGUCCACGCCCUAAACGAUGUCUACUAGUUGUCGGGUCUUAAUUGACUUGGUAACGCAGCUAACGCGUG
RNAcentral lists this ribosomal RNA (803 nucleotides) under uncultured bacterium. RNAcentral describes it as "bacterial SSU rRNA". It matches the Rfam family "Bacterial small subunit ribosomal RNA", at positions 60 to 861 of the family's 1533-position model. The record is from RNAcentral.